Bactrocera dorsalis (oriental fruit fly) is the source of this 1025-nucleotide long non-coding RNA. RefSeq lists it as uncharacterized. The transcript is spliced from 4 exons. The record is from RefSeq and is a predicted model, not a curated record. NCBI's taxonomy places the organism in Eukaryota, Metazoa, Arthropoda, Insecta, Diptera, Tephritidae.
UCAUAAAAUUUUUUUGUGUAUACUUUCCUUUCAUUUUUAAAAUAAGAAAAAUCAUACCUUGGUGUUUAAAAACCGCAACACUGUUUUGCUUUUCAGAGGUGGGCACAGAACAAUUGCAAAUAGGUUGAGUGAAAUCGUGAAACAGCGAACAGAAGAAAGAAACUGACAUUUGUUUGGGUCAGCAGAAGAACGAAAUAAAAACAAAAAAGAUUUGGUUAUCCGAAUACCAGUAAAGGCAGAGAACUUUGUCUUGCAGCUGCUAGUACAUACAUAUGUGCAUAUAUGUAUAACAAUCGUUGCAUACACUACCGAGACUCACUGUGAGCAGCCAAGUUGACAAGUGGAGAGAGUUAGCAAUGUGUGCCGGAAGAAUAAUACACCAUUGAGAGCACUGUUAUUAUUGGAUAUUGAGUGGAGCUACGCUCACCUGGAGGCACGACAGCGAAAACAAAAAGUUUACAUUUGAUUUUGAUGUGGAAACCAAAUCAAAGGGAGGAACAAUUUUCAGUUAGUUUUUGUUGUUCCGCGACUGCUGUGAAUUGGAUAAUAAACGCGCUUGUCUCACGGACAUAUCAUGGUGCCAUAUUAAAUGAGAAGAACACUAAGAAAUAUUAACUAAAUUGGCAGCCGUGGAAAGAAUAAAAAAUCGUUUGAAAAAUAAAUGAAUUAAUAAAGUGAAACAAAUUUCAAUAAAAUUAAUGCGUAAAUUGAUAUUUCAUAGGAAAACUUUUGAGCCAAAUCGUAUGUAAACACUACUAUGAAAUUGGAUGAAAUUGUUGCGUGGUAUCAGAAAAAGAUUGGCACCUACGAUAAGCAGCAAUGGGAGAAAACUGUGGAGCAGAAAAUUUUAGAUGGUUUUAACAGUGUUACACUUAAAAAUGCAAAGCUCAAGACAGACCUGAUUGAUGUCGAUUUAGUUAGAGGCUCUACAUUUCCAAAGGCCAAGCCAAAACAGUCUCUUCUAACUGUGAUACGUUUGGCCGUGUUGCGGUACUUCUUCUUGCCCGUCUUUUCACGAUGGUGGG